GAUGAACGCUGGCGGCGUGCCUAAUACAUGCAAGUCGAGCGAAGCGGGGAGGGGUGAGUACCACGUGGAUAACCUCCUAGAAGAAUGGGAUAACUUCGGGAAACCGGAGCCAAAGCGGAUACUAAUAGAUGGUUCCGGGCUGCAUUAGCUAGUUGGUAAGGUAACGGCUAACAAAGGCGACGAUGCAUAUCCGACCCGAGAGGGGGAUCGGCCACAAUGGAACGGAGAUACGGUCCAGACUCCUACGAGAGGCAGCAGUAGGGAAUCUUCGGCAAUGGAGGAAAGUCUGACCGAGCAACGCCGAGUGAGUGAAGAAGGUCUUCGGAUCGUAAAGCACUGUUGUUAGGGAAGCGGUAUCCAACCAGAAAGCCCCGGCUAACUACGUGCCAGCAGCCGCGGUAAUUC
Molecule: ribosomal RNA, 405 nt
Filed under: uncultured bacterium
Lineage: Bacteria
Description: partial 16S ribosomal RNA
Rfam family: Bacterial small subunit ribosomal RNA
Source: RNAcentral